RNAcentral lists this ribosomal RNA (377 nucleotides) under uncultured eukaryote. Its description in RNAcentral is "partial 18S ribosomal RNA". It matches the Rfam family "Eukaryotic small subunit ribosomal RNA", at positions 592 to 976 of the family's 1831-position model. The record is from RNAcentral.
CAAUAGCGUAUAUUAAAGUUGUUGCAGUUAAAAAGCUCGUAGUUGGAUUUCGGGGCAGCCUGGCUGGUCCGCCGCAAGGCGAGUACUGGUCAGCCGCCCUUCCUCUCGAAAGCCCCGACUGCUCUUUACUGCAGUGGUCGGGUAGUUCGGGACGUUUACUUUGAAAAAAUUAGAGUGUUCAAGGCAGGCCGUCGCCUGAAUACAUUAGCAUGGAAUAAUGGAAGAGGACCUCGGUCCUAUUUUGUUGGUUUCCAGGGCCGAAGUAAUGAUUAAGAGGGACAGUUGGGGGCAUUCGUAUUUAAUUGUCAGAGGUGAAAUUCUCGGAUUUAUGAAAGACGGACAACUGCGAAANCANNNGCCAAGGAUGUUUUCAUNAA